This 64-nucleotide transfer RNA is filed under the name Ceratopus sp. CG351. RNAcentral describes it as "tRNA-Phe". It matches the Rfam family "tRNA". Rfam says of the family: Transfer RNA (tRNA) molecules are approximately 80 nucleotides in length. Their secondary structure includes four short double-helical elements and three loops (D, anti-codon, and T loops). Further hydrogen bonds mediate the characteristic L-shaped molecular structure. tRNAs have two regions of fundamental functional importance: the anti-codon, which is responsible for specific mRNA codon recognition, and the 3' end, to which the tRNAs corresponding amino acid is attached (by aminoacyl-tRNA synthetases). tRNAs cope with the degeneracy of the genetic code in two manners: having more than one tRNA (with a specific anti-codon) for a particular amino acid; and 'wobble' base-pairing, i.e. permitting non-standard base-pairing at the 3rd anti-codon position. Lineage: Eukaryota; Metazoa; Arthropoda; Insecta; Coleoptera; Curculionidae. The record is from RNAcentral.
AUCUAAAUAGCUUAAUAAGAGCAUAGCAUUGAAGAUGCUAAGGUAAUAUAAUUAUUUUUAGGUA